This 282-nucleotide ribosomal RNA is filed under the name Triticum aestivum (bread wheat). RNAcentral's name for it is "partial small subunit ribosomal RNA". The record is from RNAcentral. Lineage: Eukaryota; Viridiplantae; Streptophyta; Magnoliopsida; Poales; Poaceae.
GAUGAUCAACGCAAAAUGCAUUGGGUUGCUUGGUGGAAGAUGUGCGUCCUGAAAGAAAAGGGUGGAAUGGGAUUUAGAGAUAUCCACGCUUUCAAUCUUGCACUAUUAGCAAAGCAAUGCUGGAGGUUAAUUGAGAAACAUGACUCGUUAUGUGCAAGAGUGCUGCGUGCAAGAUACUAUCCUACGGGCGAUAUCCUUAAUUGCACGUUAAAGAAGGGUUCUUCCUUUGUUUGGCAGAGUAUAUUUGCAGGCAUACAAACCUUCAAAACAGGAAGCAUCUAG